GAUGAACGCUGGCGGCGUGCCUAAUACAUGCAAGUCGAGCGAACAGACGAGGAGCUUGCUCCUCUGACGUUAGCGGCGGACGGGUGAGUAACACGUGGAUAACCUACCUAUAAGACUGGGAUAACUUCGGGAAACCGGAGCUAAUACCGGAUAAUAUAUUGAACCGCAUGGUUCAAUAGUGAAAGACGGUUUUGCUGUCACUUAUAGAUGGAUCCGCGCCGCAUUAGCUAGUUGGUAAGGUAACGGCUUACCAAGGCAACGAUGCGUAGCCGACCUGAGAGGAUGAGAGGCGGCACUGGAAAUGAGGGAGGGAGAGGAGAACUGAGGGAGGAGGCAGUGGGGAUGAGGUGAGAAUGGGGGCAAACCUGAUGAAGUGAUAAGGAGUGAGUAAAGAAGGCCUUAGGAUCGUAGAGCCGUUUUAUUGGGAAAGAACAGCAGAACGUUAAUACCUAGCCGUUGUGACGGUACCAAAAGAAUAAGCAACGGCUAACUUCGUG
RNAcentral lists this ribosomal RNA (497 nucleotides) under uncultured bacterium. RNAcentral describes it as "partial 16S ribosomal RNA". It matches the Rfam family "Bacterial small subunit ribosomal RNA", at positions 28 to 507 of the family's 1533-position model. The record is from RNAcentral.